RNAcentral lists this ribosomal RNA (501 nucleotides) under uncultured bacterium. RNAcentral's name for it is "partial 16S ribosomal RNA". It matches the Rfam family "Bacterial small subunit ribosomal RNA", at positions 30 to 523 of the family's 1533-position model. The record is from RNAcentral.
AUUGAACGCUGGCGGCAGGCUUAACACAUGCAAGUCGAGCGGGGGAAGGUAGCUUGCUACCGGACCUAGCGGCGGACGGGUGAGUAAUGCUUAGGAAUCUGCCUAUUAGUGGGGGACAACAUCUCGAAAGGGAUGCUAAUACCGCAUACGUCCUACGGGAGAAAGCAGGGGAUCUUCGGACCUUGCGAUAAUAGAUGAGCCUAAGUGAGAUUAGCUAGUUGGGGGGGUAAAGGCCGACCAAGGCGACGAUCUGUAGCGGGUCUGAGAGGAUGAUCCGACACACUGGGACUGAGACACGGCCCAGACUCCUACGGGAGGCAGCAGUGGGGAAUAUUGGACAAUGGGGGGAACCCUGAUCCAGCCAUGCCGCGUGUGUGAAGAAGGCCUUAUGGUUGUAAAGCACUUUAAGCGAGGAGGAGGCUACUUUAGUUAAUACCUAGAGAUAGUGGACGUUACUCGCAGAAUAAGCACCGGCUAACUCUGCGCCAGCCGCCGCAGUAA